UUAAAGAUUGAAAUGUAAACGCGUGAUAAAUGUUGUAUUAUAAAGUCUAUGUGAUAACAUGAUGAUGAUAAUGUGUUGCUUGUGUAUUGUUUUAUGGAUCUCACCCAGGUAAAUGGAAAGUAAACAUUUUUAUGAACAAAUGGGUUUAUUACAAAUUAUGCUCAAUUGGUCGUUUUUGUUUUUUACCCACCCUUACUCCUGUAGCAGUGAGGUAGAGUGAUGUCUUUAC
RNAcentral lists this long non-coding RNA (229 nucleotides) under Carica papaya (papaya). Its description in RNAcentral is "long non-coding RNA (CPAP_LNC002965)". The record is from RNAcentral. Lineage: Eukaryota; Viridiplantae; Streptophyta; Magnoliopsida; Brassicales; Caricaceae.